CGGACUAUUCUAUCAUACUGCUUUUUUAGAAGGCAUUUUGGCUCUCAUCUUUCCAUUAAUUUGAUUUUGAGUGGAAAAAAUAUUAGGUAUUCCAGGAGAAAUAAAGUGAAAUAAUUUGGUUUUAGGUGGGUUAGCUGUAGUGCAAAUAUUCAAAAUUGUAAUUCCAGUUCGAACAGCAUGAGCUUUGAACUACAGCAGAGCCUAGUUCCAGUCUCAACUCUUCUACAUUCUAAAUGUGUGAAGGAUGAGAAAGUGAUUAAACCUCUCUGAGCUUCAGUUUUCUAUCUGGAAAUGGAAGAUGGCAACACAUACUGGAAGAGUCUCUGUGAGGGCUUCUGAUCCUUAGGUUUGCGUCGGUCACUGAGCACUUUUGUGGCCAAUCCAGCCUCAUGGACAGUUGCAGCAUUGGCAUCAGUGCUAGAAAAUUAUGACCCUACCCUUAAUCUUGGUGUGAACUUAGACAAGAGAGUUAUACUCUAUGAGCCUCAGUUUCUCUCCUUGAAAAAAAAUAGAGAAACACAUAUUUAUUCCUUGGGGCUGUUCCAUCAAAGGAGAUAAUGCAUUUAAAGUGCCUGGCAUAUGCCAGAACUCAAUAAAUAUUCAUCUCUUCUCACCCUCCUUCUCCUCCCUAAUGCCAUCUUGGAUUUCAUCACGAGGCGUCUGACCAGGCGACGAAGGUCACAGAGGAGACACAGGCAGUGUGGAGCCACACUUCUCCAGGCUUUUUUGAAAAUGAUUGAAAGUUAAACUGGGCCAGGAGUCUGGUGACGUUUGGGUGAGAGACAGAGUUAAAUUAAGGUUUAAUCUUAGCCCUUUCCAUGUGUUAACAGGCUGCGCAGAGAGAAGAGUUUGAAAGAGAUUCAAUGCUGAAUUUUCUCACUAAUCUGAGGAGAAGAGAGACAUGGAAAGAAAGAACAUGAGAGAGAGGGAGAAUCAGAGUUCAUAUGGCUAAUUUUCUAGCCAGCAGCUACUGGAACGUUUCCAUUAAGAGAUAUGAGAAGAGACAAAGAGAAGUAAUAACUGAAGAUGGCUUUCUUGGCCAGAAAAUAAGUUGUUCUGCCGAGAUGGAGGGCAGUGGGUGAGAGCGCAGAUGAAGUAGGUGCCCGGGGGACACAUUUCAUUUUAAUGUCAUCUCUUUAGUACCUCUCUAUCUGCACAUUCAAUUAACAUCGGAGGGAAAAAAUAAGAAGUUCCUCCCAUGUCAGCCUGCUUGGGGAACAGAACUGGGGAGACACAGUGACCUCACAUGUUCUUCUCAGAGAGUGCUUUCCAUCUCUGAGUUGGCCUUCAACGUUCAAGAAAAUGGAUAUAUUAUUUUUUUUCCUUUUCUAUUUCCUUCAGGAAAGACUAGGUUUCAGUACGGUUUCAAAUAAAAGCAGUGGAGUAAUUUUCUCUCCCGUAGGUUCUCCCUCAGCCCCCUGAAUCAUAAGAAUCAACCCUCAUUCCUUUUCUCCCAACCUCUCAGGUGCAUUUGCUGAGUCACUGCAUGUUGGCCUGAAACAGGGUCCAUGUGUCUCCCCACCAUUUCCAAGGCAUGGAGAUGGGAAGUGGGAAGUGGGGAGGGUGAGCUUUGGACUGAACACCCAAGGCCCACGGCCACCAGCUACGAGGCUUCCCACAGGCUUGUCUUUCUCUGUAUGUCUGUCACAGGAUUCCAGUUCUCCAGUCAAACCAAUGAUGCUUCUUUGGCCCUGUGCUCCCUGAAGUCCUCCCUUUAUAUCAUAAGUAACCAAGGAGUCCUUCAUGCCUGAUUUUUGAAUGCUAGUAAAUUUUCAACAUCCUCAUCCAACUCUAUUCCCCAGGCUUCCCUGCUCCAAACUCCAAAUCACCUGAAAAAUAUGUUCCAGUCACCCCACCUCUGCACCAACUUGAGUGAGUCUGAACUGAGAAGCAUUCAUUCCAAUUUGUCAUAUUUGUGGAGGAUUUUUCUUAAAUGGUCACAAUAUUUCUAGUUCCAUGGGCUCUUCCAAGGCUUUGUCACUUCCCAUCCAGAGGCAGUUUCUGUGUUCUUCCCCUUGAACGUGGGAGGCAUUUGUGACGGCUGCCUUGACCAACAGGGUGGAAGAGACACUGCAUGACCUCUGAGUGAGUAAAGGCCAGGCAGCCCUUGCUUGACUCUCUUCCUUGAGAUGUCAUCCUUAGAACCUCCAUGUUGUGAGAAAGCUCAGGCCACUGGGAAGAACACGUGGGUGUUCCCAUUGUUGACAGCCUACAGACAAUAUCAAACACCAGACAUGUGAAUGAAUGAGCCUCCAGGUAGGUCCAGCCAUUGAGCCAGCCCUCAGUCAACUGUACCAGCUGUGACCCCAGACAUAUUGGGGUAGAGACAAUUAUAAUAUCUCUACUCUGCCUUGUUCCUGUUGCUGACCCACAAUCUGUGAGUCUACUGCUGGUCAUGAAAAAAAACAAAUUGAACUUUCAUUCAUUCAUUCAUUCAUUCAUUCAUCUAUCCACCUACUCAUCCAUCCACCAAAGACACACUUACUGAUAUCCCACUGUGUAUCAUAGACUAUAAGCAUGGGGGCUGCAGAGAUAAAGAAAGAAGUGAAGGUCCUGAGGAGCUCACAGACAUACUACUCAUUCUGCUGUUGACCCAUCACCCCAAGUAACAAAAGAGCACCCCUACUAAUAUCCUGCUUCAGAUUUUCACAGUCGCUCAUUUAUGCUUGCAUUUCUGCUUUGCCAUUCCAACUAAGUGCCUUUAGAAUAAGGGAUCAACUUUUUUUCUCAUGGUGCUUAGCACGGUUUUAUAAAUUUAACACAUGUUUGAUAUAGCUUGUUAAUUUUUGAAAAAUCAGUCCAUAUACUGCUAGAGGUUUUCAAGGCUUCAAGUAAAUAAAAGAAUUACAUUUUGGAAAAAUAACUUAAUAAAUGAAAUCCUUGUGCCAAUAGGAGAAAAAGAAGAAAGGUAUGAAUGAUUUUUGGGUCCUUAUUAGAUGACUGGGGCCUGCUAUUUCAUUUACUCUUCAUAGGAAACUUAUACAAAUUAUGACAAUCCUCAAAUUGCAGACUUUAAGAUAAACUGGCUAAAUUGAAUGACUAUCAAAUGUGGCACAAGGAGUUUAGCCAAUGCCAGGGACUCUUUUGCAGCCACUGUGGUGACUCCAGCACAUGAAGAUGCCACCCAGAUGACAUUUGCUUUCAAGACCUUUGAACAGGCUGCCUUGAAAAGAAUGCUUUCCAAUGUGCAACUCUAUAUCUUCUGUGGCUCUGGCGUUUUGUGAAGCAUUGCUAAACCUAGUGCAGUAAACACCGAAAUGCAGCUGAGGAGUAAGGAAUCAUCUUUGCAUGAAAAGCGAAAACCUUCUCUUGUCCUGCUGGUUUGCUCUGUGGGCAGAAGUGAGGGGGCUGAGAGGUGGGAGGCCUGGACCCAAUGCUCCUAUGCUGUAUUGCUCGGGGUGACCUCGACAUCCAAAGACUUCAUUUUUAAGAACAAUCCAUCUGUGGUGAGGCUGUGGGUGGUAGUCUCUAAAAAGAUGAUGUAACUCCUUAUUAAAAGAAACUGUGGUGUUGGGAAUUAUUCUUCGGAGAGCGGGACUUCUUGCAAGAAAUUCCAAGAACCCCAGAAGCUUCUGGAUAGCAUAUGUGGGUCGAUGGAUGAAGACAUACUCUCUCCUCUGACAAAAUCUUUCUGUCUUGCAUCUAGGGAGCUGUGUAAUUGAAAUCAGAAUUCAGAAAGUGACCGUCGUGAUGUCGUUUACCCACAUCUUUCAUCAUGAGAAAACUAGAGGCACUGGAGGGAGGAAGUCACUUGCCCAGAGUGGCCCAGUGGUUAAGGAUGGUUGUGAUGAGCUGUGAAUGGCUCUGUGGAGCCAGCACAGUGCGUCUGGAGGCUGGUUCUGCACACCUUGGCCUGGUCCACUCACCUCACCCAUGCUCAGUCCUGUUCUCUGCCUUCCUGGCUUCUGACCUUAUCGUGGAUUUUUUGGUCCAGGCCUCACUCCUCCUAUAGGGUUUCACCACUGUUUCUCCUCUUAGCAACAUCUUCCCCCAGAAUAGGGCCAGGCGUGUAAACACAAAAAUAUGCCAGGUAAAAAAAUCCCACAGAAACUGGGCAGGUCAUCAAGUGAGAGGAUCACUUAAAUUCUAAUGUGUAGACCGUCCUGGCUGAAGCAAUAUGUCUGCCAGUUGGAACUGGCUGGAGCUUGCUGUAAACAGCAGACUUGAAAACCAGCAUGGCCCAGACUACGAACUAGGUUUGAUGUUUUGUUUGACAGGCAGGUCUAGAUGACCACUGAAAUAUCAUCAUCUCCUCGAACACUUUUUUCUUCUGAAAAUCAUUUAAAGUUUUUACCAUGUAAAGUGGUAGCUCAGUCCCUGUUUUCCAAGAUUGAGCCAUCCUCCUUUCCUUUGUGUAUCCCCACUGCCAUAUUGCCAUAAAAAUAAUAAGAAUGAAUAACAUUAACAACAACAAAUGUCAUUGCUGGAUGUUCACAUGUCAGGUAAGAUGCUAGGUGUGUUUUUAUUUAUUUAUUUUUUAUCUUUUUGAGAAGGAGUUUCAUUCUUGUUGCCCAGGCUGGAGAGCAAUGGCAUGAUCUCGGCGGCUCACUGCAACCAUGCCUCCUGAGUAGCUGGGAUUACAGGCAUGCACUACCAUGCCUGGAUAAUUUUAUAUUUUUAGUAAAGACGGGGUUUCUCCAUGUUCCUCAGGCUGGUCUCGAACUCCCGACCUCAGGUGAUCCACCAGCUUCGGCCCCCCAAAGUGAUGGGAUUACAGGCGUGAGCUACUGCACCCGGCCCGCGUGAUUUGUUUAAGAGCUAAUUCUAUCUUAUGAAAUGAAAUCUCUUCUUUAUUCCAUUUUACAGAUUAGGAAACUAAGGCAGAGCUGUUAAAUAACUUACUCAAGGUCUAGGAAAUGGCAUUGCUAAGGCUCAUUCCCAUGCGUGUCUUAUUCUAGAGUUCGUGUUCCUCAUUACUGGGCAUCUCGCUCCAUCAGCCAUCAGCAGCUCUGUGAAGACCUCCAGAACUCUUUUCUAACUUAAUUAUUUAGGAUUCUUCUCUACUGCUUGACCCAUGAGUUUUUAAAAGACAAGCACAAAGGGCUUCACACAUUAUAAGGACUCAAUAAACAUGUAUGCAUGGGUCAGUGAUGCCCCUGCAAAGCUUUGAAACUUAGAAUUGUGUGUUGACAUCAUCAUAGAUCAUCGCGUUGCUAAUGGAACUAACACAGGGCCUUGCAUGAAGGGAACACGUGGAAGAGUAUUUUUUUUUUACUUGUUUUGUUUUUAAUUCACAAUUGUCCCCUUUAAAUCAUGAUGAUGUGGUCACUGCAUUUUGCUGCAUAAAGGGCUUUUCCUAAAAUGGGACCCUUCGUUCUGGUCUCUUCCAAUUAUAACCUAACUUGAUGUGAAUAAAAUCAAGACUUUGCUGCCUAA
Homo sapiens (human) is the source of this 5376-nucleotide long non-coding RNA. RefSeq lists it as uncharacterized. The record is from RefSeq and is a predicted model, not a curated record. The transcript has 2 exons. NCBI's taxonomy places the organism in Eukaryota, Metazoa, Chordata, Mammalia, Primates, Hominidae.